UACGUAGGGUGCAAGCGUUGUCCGGAAUUAUUGGGCGUAAAGAGCUCGUAGGCGGUUUGUCACGUCGGAUGUGAAAACUCGAGGCUCAACCUCGAGAGGUCGGUGGAAACCGUUUGGCUAGAGUCCGGAAGAGGAGAGUGGAAUUCCCGGUGUAGCGGUGAAAUGCGCAGAUAUCGGGAAGAACACCCGUGGCGAAGGCGGCUCUCUGGGACGGUACUGACGCUGAGACGCGAAAGCGUGGGGAGCGAACAGG
RNAcentral lists this ribosomal RNA (253 nucleotides) under uncultured bacterium. RNAcentral describes it as "partial 16S ribosomal RNA". It matches the Rfam family "Bacterial small subunit ribosomal RNA", at positions 524 to 776 of the family's 1533-position model. The record is from RNAcentral.